AACUACGAGUAGUAACUUAAAACUUAAAAGACUUGACGGUACUUCACCACAACCUAGAGGAGCCUGUCUAAUAACCGACAACCCACGAUUAACCCAACCCUAUCUUGCCAACAGUCUAUAUACCACCGUCGCAAGCUCACCUUGUAAAAGAACUAUAGCGAGCUCAAUAGUCCACCACUAACACGACAGGUCGAGGUGUAACUCAUGAAAGGGUCACAGAUGGGCUACACUCUCUUCCUAGAGAACACGAAUAACACCAUGAACAUGGUAUUUGAAGGAGGAUUUAGCAGAAAGAUAGGAAUAAACUACCUAACUGAACAUUUAGCAAUGAAGUGCGCACACACCGCCCG
Molecule: ribosomal RNA, 350 nt
Filed under: Cerastes gasperettii
Lineage: Eukaryota; Metazoa; Chordata; Lepidosauria; Squamata; Viperidae
Description: partial small subunit ribosomal RNA
Source: RNAcentral